RNAcentral lists this ribosomal RNA (742 nucleotides) under Pratylenchus neglectus. RNAcentral describes it as "SSU rRNA". It matches the Rfam family "Eukaryotic small subunit ribosomal RNA", at positions 30 to 775 of the family's 1831-position model. Lineage: Eukaryota; Metazoa; Nematoda; Chromadorea; Rhabditida; Pratylenchidae. The record is from RNAcentral.
GCUUGUCUCAAAGAUUAAGCCAUGCAUGUAUAAGUAUAAACGCAUCAAGCGUGAAACUGCGUACGGCUCAUUACAACAGCAGUAAUUUACUUGAUCUUGACAACCUACAUGGAUAACUGCGGUAAUUCUGGAGCUAAUACAUGCACCAAAGCUUCGACCCGCGAGGGAAGAGCGCAUUUAUUAGAACAAAACCAAACGGCUUCGGCUGUCAAUUGUUGACUCAGAAUAACUAAGCUGAUCGCAUGGUCUUGCACCGGCGACGUGUCUUUCAAGCUUCUGCCUUAUCAACUUUCGAUGGUAGUGUAUGUGCCUACCAUGGUGGUUACGGGUAACGGAGGAUCAGGGUUCGACUCCGGAGAAGGGGCCUGAGAAAUGGCCACUACGUCUAAGGAUGGCAGCAGGCGCGCAAAUUACCCACUCUCGAUUUGAGGAGGUAGUGACGAGAAAUAACGAGACUGAUCUCUUAUGAGGCCAGUCAUCGGAAUGGGUACAAUUUAAACCCUUUAACGAGUAUCUAUGAGAGGGCAAGUCUGGUGCCAGCAGCCGCGGUAAUUCCAGCUCUCAAAAUGCAUAGAACCAUUGCUGCGGUUAAAAAGCUCGUAGUUGGAUCUGUGCCGGCUCCCCGGUCCAUCGCAAGAUGCGCACUGGUGGCAGCCGGCUUUCCUGUGGCUCACAGCCCGGCGGCCCUCACGGACAGCCGGUGCCUGGGGCUACAACUUUACUUUGAAAAAAUUAGAGUGCU